Molecule: long non-coding RNA, 1631 nt
Filed under: Daphnia magna
Lineage: Eukaryota; Metazoa; Arthropoda; Branchiopoda; Diplostraca; Daphniidae
Description: uncharacterized LOC123472670, transcript variant X1
Source: RNAcentral
CUGUAAGAAUUCAAUUUUGAAUCAUUUUCAUUUCAAAUUGAUUCACACACAUAGCAGACGCCAACACAUCAAGCGUCAUCAAUAGCGUGGUCUAUGGUGCAAUGCUAUCGCUGGAGUAAGUUGUUUACCUUCAAUUCGGGUAGCGUCAUGAUUGGACUACCCUGAUGGCGUCAUGAUCGCUGCUGAUUGCCUUUCAAAUAGGUUUUCAGCAUUCUGCUUACACCUUUGGCAUAGAGUCACAUAUUUCACAAUCCAACAUCAAUUGGUAGCAACAGCAGCCCUUCUCUCCAUCAUCCAGAAGGGUCUGAGAUCAGUGUUGGAGAUGAUGGUUCGGAACAACCCAUGGAAAGCUUAUCACUCAUUGAUGCUGUGAUGCCUGAUGUUGUUGCAAGUCGUCAACAGCAAACACAGAACAAUCAGAAACCACAAGUGGUAAAGACAGAACCACCAAAUUCCAAUGGAGAUGAACCCAUGCAUUCCUAUCGCUGGGAAGAGGAAACAGGAGUAGAGAUACCUGCCAGCAAAUCAACUGUACCGGAAAAGGAUCGGACACAUUUGAUUUGAUAGUAUUUUGACAAGACCCAAUGAUGAAAACAUAGAUAAUUAUGACAUGUCAUUUGUGAGCGAUGAUGAAAUGUAAAUUUAACAUUCAACUGAUUUUUAAAUCAUAUUAUCUUAUUUUUAUUGAUGUAUAAAAUGUAUUGGCACUGGUUACCUGAAUAGCAUUCAGGUUCCCAAUCUGAGCCAGAAGCCAAUAAAUCAGUUGUUGGGUUCAGGCGCAGAUGAAAACUUCAGAUUCAUGGCCACGUAGUACAGUUGAUUUGCUGGCAGGUAUCUCUACUCCUGUUUCCUCUUCCCAGCCUUCAUUAAAUAGUUGAAGGGAAAAUAAGUAAGUAGUUCAGGGGAUCAAAGAAAAGUAUUGACCAUCUUACGAUAGGAAUGCAUGGGUUCAUCUCCAUUGGAAUUUGGUGGUUCUGUCUUUACCACUUGUGGUUUCUGAUUGUUCUGUGUUUGCUGUUGACGACUUGCAACAACAUCAGGCAUCACAGCAUCAAUGAGUGAUAAGCUUUCCAUGGGUUGUUCCGAACCAUCCUGAAAAACAAAAACAUACACGAGUAAAAAUUUGGUGGUAGAUAAAUUUCAUCAUAUUAAAAUUGUCACUCACAUCUCCAACACUGAUCUCAGACCCUUCUGGAUGAUGGAGAGAAGGGCUGCUGUUGCUACCAAUUGAUGUUGGAUUGUGAAAUAUGUGACUCUAUGCCAAAGGUGUAAGCAGAAUGCUGAAAACCUAUUUGAAAGGCAAUCAGCAGCGAUCAUGACGCCAUCAGGGUAGUCCAAUCAUGACGCUACCUAUUCACACAAGUUGAUAAUUACAAUAGUAGCAACUUAAGAUUGAAAAUAACAUGAUAUAAUUCUCUAACAUACCCGAAUUGAAGGUAAACAACUUACUCCAGCGAUAGCAUUGCACCAUAGACCACGCUAUUGAUGACGCUUGAUGUGUUGGCGUCUGCUAUGUGUGUGAAUCAAUUUGAAAUGAAAAUGAUUCAAAAUUGAAUUCUUACAGAUCAAAUGUAACGAAAAUUGUAAUUCAAAUUUUAAAAUGAUUAAAAAUAAAAUGUACACAUGUUGAA